Molecule: ribosomal RNA, 459 nt
Filed under: uncultured bacterium
Lineage: Bacteria
Description: partial 16S ribosomal RNA
Rfam family: Bacterial small subunit ribosomal RNA
Source: RNAcentral
CCUACGGGUGGCAGCAGUGAGGAAUAUUGGUCAAUGGACGAGAGUCUGAACCAGCCACGUCGCGUGAAGGAUGACUGCCCUAUGGGUUGUAAACUUCUUUUAUAUGGGAAUAAAAUGUUCCACGUGUGGGAUUUUGUAUGUACCAUAUGAAUAAGGAUCGGCUAACUCCGUGCCAGCAGCCGCGGUAAUACGGAGGAUCCGAGCGUUAUCCGGAUUUAUUGGGUUUAAAGGGAGCGUAGGUGGAUUGUUAAGUCAGUUGGAAAAGUUUGGGGCUAAACCGAAAAAUGCAAGUGAAAAUUGGCAGCUAGAGUACAGUAGAGGUAGGCGGAAUUCGUGGUGUAGCGGUGAAAUGCUUAGAUAUGACGAAGAACACCGAUUGCGAAGGCAGUUCACUGGACUGCAACUGACACUGAGGCUCGAAAGUGUGGGUAGCAAACAGGAUUAGAUACCCCUGUAGUC